Molecule: long non-coding RNA, 1422 nt
Filed under: Salmo salar (Atlantic salmon)
Lineage: Eukaryota; Metazoa; Chordata; Actinopteri; Salmoniformes; Salmonidae
Description: lncRNA (ENSSSAG00000121782.1)
Source: RNAcentral
CUUGAUGUGUAUCAGUUCAGGAGUGUUAAUAGGAGUGUUAAUAUGUUAAUAUGUUUUAUGGAAAAAAUAGUUACAAUUUAAAUAGCCUACCUGACAACAUGUAGGCCUACUGAUUAGUAACUUUGAAAACUGCUGUCUGUCAGCAACUCAGCUCAAGUAGCAGUUCUACUAACUAGUAAUAUCUCAUUCCAGGUAUUCAUUCUCUUACUCUGUCCAUUAGAAUAAAUUAUUGUUCAGAAAUACUUUAUUUUUCAGUUCUCUCCAUAUAGUGUUUUCUGCUCUGUCGUCUCAAAAUGGAUCCUGAACAAAAUAACAACUUUACUUUGUGUUUCAGCUCAGCCGUCUCCCCACCCUGAUAAUAAAGUGUUUUAUUGGUAUCUUCCACUAGAUGGCAGUAAACACCUGCUGUAACUAGACUUUACAACUAUGUGUUCGGUUUUAUACAGGCAGUGUCCCAGAGGAGGAGUGCUGAUCUAGGAUCAGGUCCCCCCUCUCCAUGUAAUCUGAUUCAUUAUAAUCUAGGAUCAGGUCCCCCCUCUCCAUGUAAUCUGAUUCAUUAUGAUCUAGGAUCAGGUCCCUCCUCUCCAUGUAAUCUGAUUCAUUAUAAUCUAGGAUCAGGUCCCCCCUCUCCAUGUAAUCUGAUUCAUUAUGAUCUAGGAUCAGGUCCCUCCUCUCCCUGUAAUCUGAUUCAUUAUAAUCUGGGAUCAGGUCCCCCUCUCCAUGUAAUCUGAUUCAUUAUGAUCUAGGAUCAGGUCCCCUCCUCUCCAUGUAAUCUGAUUCAUUAUGAUCUAGGAUCAGGUCCCUCCUCUCCAUGUAAUCUGAUUCAUUAUGAUCUAGGAUCAGGUCCCUCCUCUCCAUGUAAUCUGAUUCAUUAUGAUCUAAAAGGCUAAACUGACCCUAGAUCAGCUCUCCUGCUCUUUAUGAAUACUGUCACAGGUGACUCCUCAAGAUCAGGCUCGUGAUGUAUAAGUUCUAUUCUUUAAGAAUCAAUUACUAUCAUUCAUUGAACUGCUUUGCCAUGAACAGAUCUGUGAGGUCUUAACUUAAAGGUACUUUAUAGAUCUUAUGGUCAUUUUAAUGGGGUUGAACAUCCAUCCAAUCAGAUUGUGUAAAGGAUUUUAUGAGUUCAGAAAAAUAGCAACUUGGAAGCAUCUCUCUGACCUCACCCUGCUGAAACACACUCAAGUAAAGACCACAUAUCUACAGUUAAAUGCUUGUCUGUUUCUACCCACUUUUACAGCCAAUGUAUGGACUGGUAUCCAUAUGAAUCAGUAGAAUAUACAGACCAGUUAACCACCUCUCAGUAGAUGGACCCACACAGAACUUUAUAUAUACAGACUAGUUAACCACCUCCCAGUAGAUGGAACACAGAACUUUAUAUAUACAGACCAGUUAACCACCUCCCAGUAGAUGGACCCACAC